AGGAAGUUAGCUCACUGGUAGAGCGAUCGACUUGUAAUCGAUUUGUUAUAGGUUCGAUUCCUAUACUUUCAACCA
This 75-nucleotide transfer RNA is filed under the name Calothrix sp. PCC 7507. Its description in RNAcentral is "tRNA-Thr (TGT) (tRNA-Thr-TGT-3-1)". It matches the Rfam family "tRNA". Rfam says of the family: Transfer RNA (tRNA) molecules are approximately 80 nucleotides in length. Their secondary structure includes four short double-helical elements and three loops (D, anti-codon, and T loops). Lineage: Bacteria; Bacillati; Cyanobacteriota; Cyanophyceae; Nostocales; Calotrichaceae. The record is from RNAcentral.